This 269-nucleotide long non-coding RNA is filed under the name Vitis vinifera (wine grape). RNAcentral describes it as "long non-coding RNA (VVIN_LNC005264)". The record is from RNAcentral. Lineage: Eukaryota; Viridiplantae; Streptophyta; Magnoliopsida; Vitales; Vitaceae.
UUUCGAAUUCACCCACUGCCACUUUGAUGUUCCGCCUCCUCUACCCCGGGAAUUGCAUCUAUUCAACUUAUGAAUUCGAAAUCCACUUCGAAAUGACACCAAUUUCGAAUUCACCCACUGCCACUUUGAUGUUCCGCCUCCUCUACCUCGGGAAUUGCAUCUAAAGCACUCCAUCCGCCCUAGGCGGACCCCACAUGACUAGAAAUCGCCAUUUUAUUAUUUUUUAAUCAUUUUUAGGAAAUUAUUUUGUAAUAAGUGGCCAAUGAGAG